AAUAGGAUAAGCUAAACAAGCUAUUGAGUUCAUACCUCAACGAUAAAACCCUUUUCUUAUUA
RNAcentral lists this transfer RNA (62 nucleotides) under Ramazzottius varieornatus. RNAcentral describes it as "tRNA-Met". Lineage: Eukaryota; Metazoa; Tardigrada; Eutardigrada; Parachela; Ramazzottiidae. The record is from RNAcentral.